Molecule: ribosomal RNA, 340 nt
Filed under: Blepharisma japonicum
Lineage: Eukaryota; Ciliophora; Heterotrichea; Heterotrichida; Blepharismidae
Description: partial Eukaryotic large subunit ribosomal RNA
Rfam family: Eukaryotic large subunit ribosomal RNA
Source: RNAcentral
UAGGGGCGAAAGACUAAUCGAACCGUCUAGUAGCUGGUUCCCUCCGAAAUUUCCCUCAGGAUAGCUUCGACUUAUACAGUUGCAUCAGGUAAAGCGAAUGAUUAGUGGAUUCAGGAGCGCAAUGCUCUUGACCAAUUCUCAAACUUUAAAUGGGUGCGAUGCUAUGGUUGCUUUAUUGAACCAUUGGCUUUUGAAUGGAAGUCGUUAGUGGGCCAACUUUGGUAAGCAGAAUUGGCAAUGCGGGAUGCUCCGAACGUUGAGGUAAAGUGCCAAACUCCCCGCUCAUUCGACCCCAUAAAAGGUGUUGAUUCAUUUAGACAGUAGGUCGGUGGCCAUGGAA